AGUUAAGCUUAAUGAACUCCACAGUAAUGGCUUACGCUUGCUUAAGACUUUCUAAAUAGUGUGUCAAGUCUCGCAAUAUGCAAUGUAAACAAUAAGUUACAGAGAUUUUGAUUAACUGUCAGUUACUUCAACUACUACCGUUUAUAUUUAAAAACUGACAUUGUCAGAAUUUUGUUAACUAUCGACAAAUAUUAUUAGAUGUUAGUGUGAGAAUUGGAGAUUCUCAAAGCUAGCAAGUUGUCGUAAACAGCAUCUAUACAGUAAAUAUCUUAAAACAAAAUUAUACUAUCCAGCUUGUAAGUGGUUAAACUAAGCAAGUCUUUCUGUAAGCACAAGGUUUUUAAUUCGUGAAAUUG
Non-coding RNA from Schizosaccharomyces pombe (fission yeast), 356 nucleotides. Lineage: Eukaryota; Fungi; Ascomycota; Schizosaccharomycetes; Schizosaccharomycetales; Schizosaccharomycetaceae. The record is from the annotation of a GenBank genome assembly.